AUUGAACGCUGGCGGCAUGCUUUACACAUGCAAGUCGAACGGUAACACGCUGUCGGGUUCUGAUGCGCGGCUAACGGGCGAGUAAUUCACCGGAACGUACCCAGCGGUGGGGGAUAACGUAGCGUAAGCUGUCUUAAUACAACACGGGAUCUGAGGACGAGAGCGGGGGACGGAGCAGGAAUGUUUGGCCUCGCGCGUUUGGACCGGCCGCUGUCGGAUUAGCUAGUUGGGGGGGUAAAGGCCUACCCGGGGGAGGAUCCGUAGCCGGUCUGAGAGGACGGCCGCCGGCACGGGGACUGGGACACGGACCAGGGUCCUGCGGGAGGCAGCAGUGGGCAACGUUGGGCAGUGGGCGCAAGCCUGAUCCAGCAGUGCCGCGCGCGGGAAGAAGGCGUUCGGGGUGUAAAGCGGUUUUGGCAGGAACGAACCGGUGUCCGCUAAUACCGGGCGUUAAUGACGGUACCUGCAGAAUAAGCACCGGCUAACUACGUG
RNAcentral lists this ribosomal RNA (492 nucleotides) under uncultured bacterium. RNAcentral describes it as "partial 16S ribosomal RNA". It matches the Rfam family "Bacterial small subunit ribosomal RNA", at positions 28 to 507 of the family's 1533-position model. The record is from RNAcentral.